AACGAACGCUGGCGGCAUGCCUAACACAUGCAAGUCGAACGAGACCUUCGGGUCUAGUGGCGCACGGGUGCGUAACGCGUGGGAACCUGCCCUUAGGUUCGGAAUAACUCCCCGAAAGGGGUGCUAAUACCGGAUAAUGUCUUCGGACCAAAGAUUUAUCGCCUUUGGAUGGGCCCGCGUUGGAUUAGCUAGUUUGGUAGGGUAAAAGCCUACCAAGGCGACGAUCCAUAGCUGGUCUGAGAGGAUGAUCAGCCACACUGGGACUGAGACACGGCCCAGACUCCUACGGGAGGCAGCAGUGGGGAAUAUUGGACAAUGGGCGAAAGCCUGAUCCAGCAAUGCCGCGUGAGUGAUGAAGGCCUUAGGGUUGUAAAGCUCUUUUACCCGGGAUGAUAAUGACAGUACCGGGAGAAUAAGCUCCGGCUAACUCCGUG
Molecule: ribosomal RNA, 434 nt
Filed under: uncultured bacterium
Lineage: Bacteria
Description: partial 16S ribosomal RNA
Rfam family: Bacterial small subunit ribosomal RNA
Source: RNAcentral